UUAGCACUGUUUAGAUAGUGCGUGGACGUCACUUGGUACUCAAGACUCGCGCAAAUAACACAUUUUUCGUCAAUUAUAUCAGUGACUAAUACCAGGAAACAUUUAGUAAAGCAAUACCGCUGUCCUCUUGUUAAAAGUGUCUUUAACUGUACAGUCAUUUGCUGUAACGAUAUUUAUCGACGAAAUUGGCCAUUUUCUUCUACUUCAAUAAGACCGUUAUCUCACUCCCGAGAUGUAAUGGAUCUCGUAAAUCUUACGGGUAAUCCCACAUGAUAAACCUAGGAAAUCCUUUAACACGUACAUUAUAAAGACCAAUAAAUAUUUACAGUA
Molecule: long non-coding RNA, 330 nt
Organism: Aethina tumida (small hive beetle)
Lineage: Eukaryota; Metazoa; Arthropoda; Insecta; Coleoptera; Nitidulidae
Exons: 2
Source: RefSeq, a predicted model, not a curated record